UCACUAUCGGGGUUUCGAUACGUUACAGUAGGUUUAACGAAUUUUCUUCUAAGUCAAAUCUUAGUUCAGCAUAUAUAAUUUCAUCUAACAUUACUAAACUAUGCUCCAAAUUUAGAUUUUAAUAAAAACAUGCAAAUCGAUGAAUUCGAGCUACUAACAUGAUGAACAAAGCAAAUAAUACAUGCUGACAAUUCUAUGACUUAGAAGGAAAUCCGAUGAUUUCGGUAAACAUUAACCCAUCUCGAACGCUUGUCCAACGUCGGCUAGAAGUCGAUAGGAGAACCCCGCACGCUCGCUCGACCUCCAACGGCCUCAACCGGACUCGACCACGGCGCGGGCGCAACCCUCCUAAGACCCGAAGAAAUCAAACGAGCUCGAUCUUCAACCUUCUAAACAAACGGUACAACCAGCUAGAGAGAGAGGGAGAGGAGAAACGUACUGUUUCUCCAAGCUUCGCAGGUAGAUAAAUAUGCUGGGGUAGGUGGCGAUACAAUCCACCAUCAAAAAGACCAAAAUAUCCCUUACCAACUUAUUUUUCCACCUGGAGCACUGGUACCCAACUUGAAUACCGGUACUCGGCCCUCUUCCCGCACACAACGCGCGCUGAGUAUCGGUACUCGCUCGAUGCAGUAUCGAUCCUCAAGCUCGAUACCGGUACUCAACAACAGGUAUCGAUACUCAGCAUCAAAGUGUGCAAACCAGAGAGCAUCCAGUUCAUAAAUCCCUCUGGGGUACCGAUACUUCUCUCUAGUACCGGUACUCAACACUGAAAUCCUACACUUUGUAGAUUUAGUGUCAGAACUCUACUCUCGCACCGCGCUGAGUCUGUUUUGCGUCCAAUGUGCGCCAAAACGACUCCGACUUGUCUCGACACCCACUAGACGUGUCGACAAGCCACAGAUGCUGAAGUCUCUCAGACAACUAAACACCAGGGACACUACAACAAUAAUAACUUGUUGGACCCAAACCAACGGCCCAAAAUGCUUAAGUCCAGUUAUUAUUACUAGUGUCUAAGUUUCUUAUAUAUCCAAUCACAUUCCCAUUCCUAUCCAAUGUGGGAUUAUUAAGGUGUGACAAUUUGACACUAAGUUGCACUGUUUGAGGUUAAAUUAUACUAUUUAAAAUUAUUUGAGACUAAAUUGCACCACAAAAAAUAAAAGUUAUACUAUUUGAGACUGAGUUGCACUAUUGAUACUUAAGUUGCACUGUUUGAGAAUAUGCAACUUAAUCUCAAAUAAUUGUAAAUAGUGCAACUUAAGUCUCAAACUGUGUAAUUUUAUUUCAAAUAAUGCAACUUCCUUUUCUUUUUUCUCUACUUUUUGGCCUUCCUUGUAGCAGCCUCAAUGCAAGGUGGCCUUCCUAUAAAAAGAAAAAGAUAUAUUUUUUAUCUUUUUAUCUUUUUCUUCCACUCUCUACAUUCUUUUUCACUACUGCACCCCCUCUCUCGCCCUCAACUACAGCAGCCGCCCUCGCCCCUACAUGCUCUCCCUCCCCGUCAUCUUAAAAUCUUGCAGCAUCCUCGUCGCUGCCGUCGUCCACGGUUACGACCUUCACUGUAGCCUCAUCUUUGCAAUCUAUACAAUAUCCAAACCCGUGUUGCCGCCGCUAGUGUCAGCAGAGAUGUGGACGAAAUAGGAGAGAGGAGUGCGAUUUUGGUUGGGAGCAGUGGAGGAGAAAGAGAAAAGCGGGAAGAGAAAAGGAUGAGGAAAUGGCGAGAAGAAGGGAGACGAAGAGAGAGAGAGAAAUGAGAGAGAAAAAAGAAUAAAAAUAUGUUGUUUAGUUUACUAUAAGUUCAGACUUAAUUUACAAAAUCUCAAAAGGUGAAUUAUUUUUGUAAAAAUAUAAAACCAGUGAAUUUUUUUAUAAAAAUUGACCUUUUUAAAAUUGAUAAAAUAUUUUUAAUAUUAUUUUUUUAAAAAAAGGUAUACAAGUAAUGGUUGGAGGAAGGAUUCCCAUGGAAUUAUUCUAAGAAAGAAUGUAUUACGCAAUGUUGCACAUGGUGUUCCUUUUACUGAUUUGAUGUUAUGUACGUGGACCACUUUAAAAGAAAUAUAGCUUAGCAAUUACUUUAGCAUUUCCUUUUGUCUUUUCCUUUAAUUGAAUCACAAGGAAUUAUUUUUUAAAGGCUAAAAGGUAAAGCACCACUCUUUUUGGCUUUUCUUUUGCAUCGUAUUCCUGUCAAAAUUUAGAUGUAGAUUAUUUUUUAUUUUCUAUAUUGUAUUUUGUUUUUAAGACAUUACUCAACUGUUAGCGUAAGUGGCAAAAGACUUGAUGAUUGGUAUUCGAGGUCCCAAGUUCGAAUCCUAGUUGAUGCACAUUUCUAUUUAAGUUUAUUUUUAAAUGAAAUAAACGAAAUGGGUAGCAUGCUAUCUAUCUCUCUCUC
Molecule: long non-coding RNA, 2383 nt
Filed under: Ananas comosus (pineapple)
Lineage: Eukaryota; Viridiplantae; Streptophyta; Magnoliopsida; Poales; Bromeliaceae
Description: long non-coding RNA (ACOM_LNC019501)
Source: RNAcentral